This 478-nucleotide ribosomal RNA is filed under the name uncultured bacterium. RNAcentral's name for it is "partial 16S ribosomal RNA". It matches the Rfam family "Bacterial small subunit ribosomal RNA", at positions 28 to 523 of the family's 1533-position model. The record is from RNAcentral.
AAUGAACGCUGGCGGCGUGCUUAACACAUGCAAGUCGAACGGUAAGGCCCUUCGGGGUACACGAGUGGCGAACGGGUGAGUAACACGUGGGUGAUCUGCCCUGCACUUCGGGAUAAGCCUGGGAAACUGGGUCUAAUACCGGAUAGGACCACUGCCUGCAUGGGUGGUGGUGGAAAGCUUUUGCGGUGUGGGAUGGGCCCGCGGCCUAUCAGCUUGUUGGUGGGGUGAUGGCCUACCAAGGCGACGACGGGUAGCCGGCCUGAGAGGGUGACCGGCCACCGUGGGCUGGGGAUACGGCCCAGACUCCUACGGGAGGCAGCAGUGGGGAAUAUUGCACAAUGGGCGCAAGCCUGAUGCAGCGACGCCGCGUGAGGGAUGACGGCCUUCGGGUUGUAAACCUCUUUCAGCACCGACGAAGCGCAAGUGACGGUAGGUGCAGAAGAAGGACCGGCCAACUACGUGCCAGCAGCCGCCGUAA